This 546-nucleotide ribosomal RNA is filed under the name Shigella flexneri. RNAcentral's name for it is "bacterial SSU rRNA". It matches the Rfam family "Bacterial small subunit ribosomal RNA", at positions 77 to 620 of the family's 1533-position model. Lineage: Bacteria; Pseudomonadati; Pseudomonadota; Gammaproteobacteria; Enterobacterales; Enterobacteriaceae. The record is from RNAcentral.
UGCUUCUUCGCUGACGAGUGGCGGACGGGUGAGUAAUGUCUGGGAAACUGCCUGAUGGAGGGGGAUAACUACUGGAAACGGUAGCUAAUACCGCAUAACGUCGCAAGACCAAAGAGGGGGACCUUCGGGCCUCUUGCCAUCGGAUGUGCCCAGAUGGGAUUAGCUUGUUGGUGGGGUAACGGCUCACCUAGGCGACGAUCCCUAGCUGGUCUGAGAGGAUGACCAGCCACACUGGAACUGAGACACGGUCCAGACUCCUACGGGAGGCAGCAGUGGGGAAUAUUGCACAAUGGGCGCAAGCCUGAUGCAGCCAUGCCGCGUGUAUGAAGAAGGCCUUCGGGUUGUAAAGUACUUUCAGCGGGGAGGAAGGGAGUAAAGUUAAUACCUUUGCUCAUUGACGUUACCCGCAGAAGAAGCACCGGCUAACUCCGUGCCAGCAGCCGCGGUAAUACGGAGGGUGCAAGCGUUAAUCGGAAUUACUGGGCGUAAAGCGCACGCAGGCGGUUUGUUAAGUCAGAUGUGAAAUCCCCGGGCUCAACCUGGGAA